UUGAUCCUGGCUCAGAGUGAACGCUGGCGGCAGGCCUAACACAUGCAAGUCGAACGGCAGCACAGCAGUAGCAAUACUGUGGGUGGCGAGUGGCGGACGGGUGAGGAAUGCAUCGGAAUCUGCCUAUUUGUGGGGGAUAACGUAGGGAAACUUACGCUAAUACCGCAUACGUCCUACGGGAGAAAGUGGGGGACCUUCGGGCCUCACGCAGAUAGAUGAGCCGAUGCCGGAUUAGCUAGUUGGCGGGGUAAAGGCCCACCAAGGCGACGAUCCGUAGCUGGUCUGAGAGGAUGAUCAGCCACACUGGAACUGAGACACGGUCCAGACUCCUACGGGAGGCAGCAGUGGGGAAUAUUGGACAAUGGGCGCAAGCCUGAUCCAGCCAUGCCGCGUGUGUGAAGAAGGCCUUCGGGUUGUAAAGCACUUUUGUCCGGAAAGAAAAGCAUUCGGUUAAUAACCGGAUGUCA
RNAcentral lists this ribosomal RNA (467 nucleotides) under Lysobacter sp. IGS130. RNAcentral describes it as "bacterial SSU rRNA". It matches the Rfam family "Bacterial small subunit ribosomal RNA", at positions 13 to 487 of the family's 1533-position model. Lineage: Bacteria; Pseudomonadati; Pseudomonadota; Gammaproteobacteria; Lysobacterales; Lysobacteraceae. The record is from RNAcentral.